ACAUCCAUUGUUGAAUGGUUAAAUCGCCCAACUCAUAAUUGGUGAACACGCGGGUUCAAUUCCUACUAGAUGUA
Molecule: non-coding RNA, 74 nt
Organism: Picea glauca (white spruce)
Lineage: Eukaryota; Viridiplantae; Streptophyta; Pinopsida; Pinales; Pinaceae
Source: Rfam